GAAGCUCAGUCGGUUGAGCAUGAGACUUUAAAUUUCUGGGUCAUGGGUCCAAGCCACACCUUGGGCA
This is a non-coding RNA of Podarcis lilfordi (Lilford's wall lizard), 67 nucleotides long. Lineage: Eukaryota; Metazoa; Chordata; Lepidosauria; Squamata; Lacertidae. The record is from the annotation of a GenBank genome assembly.